Unclassified non-coding RNA from Pongo abelii (Sumatran orangutan), 148 nucleotides. It matches the Rfam family "Metazoan signal recognition particle RNA". From Rfam's summary of the family: The signal recognition particle (SRP) is a universally conserved ribonucleoprotein. It is involved in the co-translational targeting of proteins to membranes. Lineage: Eukaryota; Metazoa; Chordata; Mammalia; Primates; Hominidae. The record is from Ensembl.
GCCGGGUGUGGUGGUGCAUACCUGUAGUCCCAGCUACUUGGGAGGCUGAGGCAGGAGAAUCACUUGAACCCGGGAGGCGGAGGUUGCAGUGAGCUGAGAUCACACCACUGCACUCCAGCCUGGGUGACAGAGUGAGACUCCGUCUCAA